RNAcentral lists this long non-coding RNA (1342 nucleotides) under Sus scrofa (pig). RNAcentral describes it as "lncRNA (ENSSSCG00070004634.1)". The record is from RNAcentral. Lineage: Eukaryota; Metazoa; Chordata; Mammalia; Artiodactyla; Suidae.
ACACAGCUUCCAAUUCUGACUCCACCGGCUGUGCCGGCUGCCUGACCUUGGGCAAACGCCACAGUUGCUCAAGACCUCAUCUCAUCGGCAGGAUAAGAAUCAUGUCAAGAAUCAGUGACAGGGUUCUGAUUCUGACUCCACCGCUUACCUGCUCUCCCGAUUUCUGUCUGCCUGAGGCCGAGUGUCCUCACCUGUGAAAUGGUGAGCAGGAAUCCAGCUAGGCCUGGGGGACCCCCAGACCUGAUCACUCACAGCAGCCUUUCACCAGCGGUGAAACCAAUGGUGCCUUGGUUGUUGGCUUGCUCCAGAACAAGGCCGCAUGAUAUCGUGGGGAAAACCUGAAGACUGCUCCAUCACACAGGGCUUUUUAGUUGCAAGAAAUAGAAACUCCUUCUGACUCAUUGGAUCCUAAAUAGAAUUUUCUUUUUCUUUUUUUUUUUUUUUUUUUUUUGCUAUUUCUUGGGCCGCUCCCGCGGCAUAUGGAGGUUCCCAGGCUAGGGGUCGAAUCGGAGCUGUAGCCACCGGCCUACGCCAGAGCCACAGCAACGCGGGAUCCGAGCUGCAUCUGCAACCUACACCACAGCUCACGGCAACGCCGGAUCCUUAACCCACUGAGCAAGGGCAGGGACCAAACCCGCAACCUCAUGGUUCCUAGUCGGAUUCGUUAACCACUGCACCACGACGGGAACUCCCUAAAUAGAAUUUUCUAGAAGGACUUUGGAGAGUUCCCAAAACGGACGGCGACCUGGGAAGCUGGGGUUGAGACAGGCUGGACACAGGCAAUGCCAAGCACCUACAGAGCCAGACACCUUGGCCUCCCCGGGGACAGAGAGCAGCCAGAAGGAAUGUGCUCAAACCUCUCUGUUCUGUUCUUGGUUCAUUCCAGUCAGGACUCAAAAUCCUGAGAGAGGGAAAAAAAAAAAAGAGUCUGCUUAGUGACCCCUGGGCAUCUCUGUGACAAGAAGAGGUCAGGACACUCCUUUAGACCUACUCAGAUGCCCUGCAUUGGGUAAGAGGCAAUUCCAAAGUGGGUAGAGAGAGAGGAGACCACCCCAGAGGUGGACCUCGGAAAGCCAAGGCCCUCCCCCAAUCCGCUGCUGAAAGUCUGUGCGCUCCGCACACAGCCCCGCCCCUGCCUGCACCUCGAUUUUUUAUCCUCAAUGUGAGCUGAUCAGCUCACGUGAGAUUGGGGGCUUUCCAUCCAGAAUGUUCUCAGCCCCCUACUGCUCUGAUCUCCUGUUUGCUUUUGUUUAUCCCCCCACCUCUCAAGCUCACAGCACGAGCUUCUUCUGGUCAGAGACCAGUUUCUGAGAAACCCAUUGCCAAUGAGAGGUCUGCCGGU